AAGGCCAAAUAUUAAGCAUCUCUCUCAAACUUCAUGCUCAAUCUCUCUGCCAAAGACAAACCACGCCUAAUCUCUCUGCCAAACUUCACCCACGAUGGAGACAGUCCCACGCCGGUGACACACCGCAGGCGGCAGUCCCUCUGCCAACCUCUGUUAAACCCACCAAAUCUCAGCAAAAAAUUCUCAACAGUUGAGCCCUAAUUCGCACCAUAAACAACCACCUCCUUCAAACAAUUCGAAUCAUCCAAUAAGUUUAGGUUUUUUCUCGAUUAAGCUCCGCUAACACGUCAAGUUCUCACAGAUCCCUAAUUCUAGAUUCCAUUCCUCACUGAAGAAGAAAUUGUCGCUGGUAGCUGUGGAAUAAAUAUCAUCAGAAUUGAAUAGUCAUGAAUCAAGAAGGGUGCUCAAGACAAAACAAAAAAGCUAAAAACUGCAUUGCAGCUGGAUCACUUGCAUCUUUGCGAAACCUAAGGAUGUCGUCAUUGACAACAAAAAGAAACUUCUCAAGCUAGAAGGCCAAGUGAAAUGCAUCCGCUUAAUAUAAUUGGAAAAAGACAAUUAGAACUAGCAUCUCAAUUGCAGGAACAAGUGCAGCGAGUGCCACUGACUUCUAGCUCUUCUGCAUCACAAGCAAUACAUGAACAAGUGCAGCAAGUGCUACCAGAUUCCACCACUCCUGCAUCACAAACAGUACAUGAACAAUUUGAGGAUUCUGACCAUCAUAAAUCAAAUGAACAAUCUGAGGAACAA
This is a non-coding RNA of Nicotiana tabacum (common tobacco), 750 nucleotides long. The record is from RefSeq and is a predicted model, not a curated record. NCBI's taxonomy places the organism in Eukaryota, Viridiplantae, Streptophyta, Magnoliopsida, Solanales, Solanaceae.